CAGUGCGCGCCUAGCAGUGUCCCAGCCGGGUUCGUGUCGCCAUGGGGCAGAUCGAGUGGGCCAUGUGGGCCAACGAGCAGGCGCUGGCGUCCGGCCUGAUCCUCAUCACCGGGGGCAUCGUGGCCACAGCUGGGCGCUUCACCCAGUGGUACUUUGGUGCCUACUCCAUGUAUCCUUCCACCUGAGGCUGGGGUGGGCGGGGAACGCCCAGGGCAGAGCUGGGGAGCCACUUCACAGUGAGCUGUUUGCCUCCACUCUCCACCACCGCAGCCAGGCUGGGACACAGGGUGGGCUGUGCACGGGUUGGGCAGCCCAGGCCCCAGCAGCCAGGCCCCUCGCCUGGACCAUGUGGCGAUCAGUGGCAGACCCGCCAGUCUAAGUCCUGGUGAGUGGUGGGCAGGGGGUGUCACCAGAGGGCCAGGGCCAGCACUGACGCCUCCCUGUUGGACUGCUGGGAUCCCCUCUGCCCGCUCCUGUCAGUCAUCCCCCUUGACCGGCCCCUCUACCUCCUCCGCCCCAUC
This 521-nucleotide small RNA is filed under the name Pan troglodytes (chimpanzee). Its description in RNAcentral is "processed transcript". The record is from RNAcentral. Lineage: Eukaryota; Metazoa; Chordata; Mammalia; Primates; Hominidae.